Molecule: long non-coding RNA, 3475 nt
Organism: Homo sapiens (human)
Lineage: Eukaryota; Metazoa; Chordata; Mammalia; Primates; Hominidae
Exons: 3
Source: RefSeq, a predicted model, not a curated record
UUUUCAAAAUUUGGUCCAAGGGUCAUAGUAGUCUAAAAAUUUUUUUUCUGAUAUCCCAGAUUGCUGGAUAUUUCUGACAUACAAGACUCAAUUAGGAAAAGACAAAAGGAUCAAAGAAGAGAAAGCAGAAUAACACUGACAUUGAGAAUGACUCUAGAUGGGAGAUCACCUAAGGAUGAAAGCUUUUCUGGCAAACAAUAUGCAAGUAUAUUUAUACUCUUGCUGCUCAUUCCUUUUAUUUAAAAACCAUUGCAGGAAUAAGGUGACAUAAAUUGUAGACUCCAUUAACAAUUGUUCUAGGGAACAAUUAAUACAUGUGCCUACUCAUAUUACACUGAGCAACCAGGUCUACCAGCCAUAGUUUUUGAAUUCUGACAGCACCAGUUUUAGAUAUCUGUUCCAUAGUGUGUAGGUAGUGUGAAAAUACACAACCUAUUUUCUUAAAUAAAUGUUCUGAAUGUUUCCAUAUCAUGGAGGUGGUGAGCCAACAUAACCAACACUGAUAUGCAGUUUUUAUUCUGAAAAAAUGAAAAUGAAAUUAGUCAAGAGCUGUCAGGAAGAACAAAGAGGUUUCUUGUGGAAUUUGUGUGUUAAAUACAGCAAUGGUUAUAACUUUGUUCCUCGUAUGAGGUAAUGUUUUCCCAGGGAUAUUUAGUAAUAUUUAGCCAUCAAUCAAUUGGCAUUGCAUCAAAAAAAAACACCUGCACUCCCACUAGAUUAGCGGUGUGGUUUCCUAAUCACAUUGACAAAGAGCUAACAAAGCAUGUGAUAUGUGGUGGAAGAGAAAACAGAAAGCUCUGCUUUACAUCAUACUGUUUAGGUGUGAGGAUGGACCCUAAUCUGCUUACACUGCAUUGAAGCUGAAAGUGCAAAAUAAAUUCAUUAUCCUGGACUGGGAGACAGUAGACAAAUACAUCUCUUGAGAGGACAAAUAACUUUACACAGAAAAGGGGAUAUCAUAUCAUUUAAUGAGGCAAUAAGAACAACUUUUCAGGAAGACGGCCGGGCAGUGUGAGUUCUCUCAUAGACACAGCGGAAGAGGUUUUUUGGUUUUGUUUUGUUUUUUUUGUUGUUGUUGUUGUUUUUUUUUGAGGAGAAUGACAGCUUACUUAACAACAGACGUUUCUGUGAUUGGAGAGGGAAGAAAUGAACUGCUUUGCCGCUAUUGCCUGUGAUGGGUACAGGAAUCCCAAAGCUUUGGGAGAUCAGAAGAGAUGUCCAAUUCCUGCAGGAGAUGCUUCACAGACCCCUUAAAUCAUUGAUCAUCUUCCCUUUUCAUUAUGCGAUUUGUAUCUAAGUCCCUUUACAGUAAUUUCAGUGUCUGUUUAAUCUUUGAGGUCCCCACAGAACCUAUUACAAUGUUUUACAUAUUGUAAGACACACAGUAAGAAUUUGUGUAUUGUAAGUAUUGACCUAAUAUAUCUGCACUUUUAAUGUAUUCAGUUAAAAUAUAAAUUGUAUUUUAAGAAUACAGUAAAUAAAAGAAAUGCUCCUAUCAAGGCAUUUCUCUAUCCUAUGUCUAUAAGUUUAUUCAGAUUCAAGUGUGGGAAUUUACAUUCAUCAUUAGUUCAUCCAUUCAUUCAUGUAUAAUGGGUACAUAGUAAUUAUCUACUAUAUGCAAAGAUCUCUAAGCCCUAUGAUGCAAUUUAAAAAAAUGUUAAAGUGUCUGGGCGCAGUAGCUCAUGCCUGUAAUCCCAGCACUUAGGGAGGCCAAAGCAGGGGGAUCACUUGACCUCAGGCAUUCAAGACCAGCCUGGGCAACAUGGCAAAACCCCAUCUCUACUAAAAGUACAAAAAUUAGCCAGGUGUGGUGAUGCGUGCCUGUAGUCCCAGCUACUUGGGAGGCUGAGGCAGGAGAAAUCGCUUGAGUCCGGGAGGUGGAGAUUGCAGUGAGCCGAGAUUGCACCACUGCACUCCAGCCUGGGCAACAGAGCGAGACUCUGCCUCAAAAAAAAAAAAAAAAAGAAAUGUUAAAGUGAAUAUCUUCAUUAAGAAUUUAUAAUUGAAAAUAUUUUCCAUAUUAGUGGAAAAUCUCUAUUUCAAAAUUGAUAACUUAAUUGAAUCUAAACCCAGUUGAAUAAGUAUUUAAUUUGUGCCCACUACAUUACAUUUUGUUGCCUGCUCUGAAUUUUGCCUUCUACUCUAGCAUAUUCAUUAAUGGGAUUAGAAGGAAUAACUUUUUGAGAUGGGUGAAAUAAGUCCGACCCAAACAGCUUUGAAAUAAAACAUGGGCCAGUAACAGUUACUUACAACUGUCUUUAGCCAACAUGUCCCUGGCUGAAAGGUUCCUUACCAUGGCGAUGUUUUGGUCCAACAGGACAAAUGACCUGUGAGAUGUGAUGAAGGAGAGAGAGAUGAACAAAAAAGAGGUAAUGCACAGCCAUGGAUUUCCCGAAGCCCCUCUCCUUGAGGGCUCUUCUUGUGCUCUGGGGAGAUGCGCCACUAAAAGAAAAGGCUAACUGUUCAAGGUGAAAAAACACCACUCCCUAAAAGGAGCAAGACUUGGCUGCAUGCAGGUAACACUAUGAACUAGAUAAGAACAUGCUUAAACUCUUCAGAGUAAAAGCAUCUAUUCAAGGGAAAAGAAUGCGGAAGGUCGUGUAUGCCCAUGACCAGAAAUUUAAAGUGUUAUGUGGAGCAAGGGGACCUAUGCAGAGCUAUGUUAUGAGCUGAAUGUAAAGAAUGCAGCUUACAAGUGGCUUAAAUUCUUGAGGGACCGGAAUGGUUUUGUUCUGGGCAGCCUGAUCAAUGGGAGCUUGUCUUUGAGCUAUUCGCUCAGCAAGUGACUCAGCACUUGUGACGCCCGCUGUGAGACAGGCUAUUGGCUGGGGAAGAGAAGAUCUUUUCAAGUACAUCAGAACGGCUCUGUCUCAGAUAACCUUCCCCUGACUUUGUGACUGAGCUUCCAGAAACAUGUCAGGGAGUUUCUAGGAAGGAGGCCAGAAAUCAUGCAGUUAGCAAGGGAGAUCCAGCUGUGCCCACCUCAGCCUGAGAGUUUUAUUCACUUCUUCUGCAGGGAUCAUUUUCAGCCGUUCAAAAAGUUUCCUACUGUUUCACCUCGAUGGGGACUUUACUUGCUUUUCUGUGCAGGUUCUCUAUUAGUUAACAUGUUCCUCUACCCCAUUUAACUUUUGAAGUGUGGGGCCUCUGAAUGAGAAAAUGGAUUGCGUCUUCCAAUAUCAAAAUGGAGUCCUACUCAUGAUAAGUAGUUUAACACUUUUCUGAGAGUAUUGAGUUGCUUUAGGAAGACCAAGUGAUUGGGUUUCAAGAGAGAUACCAAGUUAAAGGAAUUCACAUCAUUAUAUCUCCCAGAGGACAAAGCCUAGAACUUUCUACAUUCAAGUCAGUGAAUAUUGGGGAGUGGGGAAUCCAUGAAUUCAUUAUGUGGAGGCAAUUUUAAUUCAGAAGAUGGAAACCAGCAUAAUAUAGAUCUGUCGUGGCUUCAGCAUCAGGAAACAACACACUGAUCAUGACA